RNAcentral lists this small nuclear RNA (102 nucleotides) under Cavia porcellus (domestic guinea pig). Lineage: Eukaryota; Metazoa; Chordata; Mammalia; Rodentia; Caviidae. The record is from RNAcentral.
GUGCUCACUUCAGCAGCAUUGACUCUAAAGCUGGAGUCAGCAGAGAAGAUUUGCACGGCCCCUGAGGACGGCAUGCACGUUUGUGAGGCACAUUCCAUGAUU